Molecule: ribosomal RNA, 427 nt
Filed under: uncultured bacterium
Lineage: Bacteria
Description: bacterial SSU rRNA
Rfam family: Bacterial small subunit ribosomal RNA
Source: RNAcentral
UGGGGAAUUUUGGACAAUGGACGCAAGUCUGAUCCAGCCAUGCCGCGUGCGGGAAGAAGGCCUUCGGGUUGUAAACCGCUUUUGUCAGGGAAGAAACGAGUUUCUCUAAUACAGAGACUUAAUGACGGUACCUGAAGAAUAAGCACCGGCUAACUACGUGCCAGCAGCCGCGGUAAUACGUAGGGUGCGAGCGUUAAUCGGAAUUACUGGGCGUAAAGCGUGCGCAGGCGGUUAUAUAAGACAGAUGUGAAAUCCCCGGGCUCAACCUGGGAACUGCCUUUGUGACUGCAUAGCUAGAGUACGGUAGAGGGGAAUGGAAUUCCGCGUGUAGCAGUGAAAUGCGUAGAUAUGCGGAGGAACACCGAUGGCGAAGGCAAUCCCCUGGACCUGUACUGACGCUCAUGCACGAAAGCGUGGGGAGCAAACA